CCUACGGGGUGCACCAGUGGGGAAUAUUGCACAAUGGGCGCAAGCCUGAUGCAGCCAUGCCGCGUGUAUGAAGAGGGCCUUCGGGUUGUAAAGUACUUUCAGCGGGGAGGAAGGUGUUGUGGCUAAUAACCGCAGCAAUUGACGUUACCCGCAGAAGAAGCACCGGCUAACUCCGUGCCAGCAGCCGCGGUAAUACGGAGGGUGCAAGCGUUAAUCGGAAUUACUGGGCGUAAAGCGCACGCAGGCGGUCUGUCAAGUCGGAUGUGAAAUCCCCGGGCUCAACCUGGGAACUGCAUUCGAAACUGGCAGGCUAGAGUCUUGUAGAGGGGGGUAGAAUUCCAGGUGUAGCGGUGAAAUGCGUAGAGAUCUGGAGGAAUACCGGUGGCGAAGGCAGCCCCCUGGACAAAGACUGACGCUCAGGUGCGAAAGCGUGGGGAGCAUACAGGAUUAGAUACCCUAGUAGUC
RNAcentral lists this ribosomal RNA (465 nucleotides) under uncultured bacterium. RNAcentral's name for it is "bacterial SSU rRNA". It matches the Rfam family "Bacterial small subunit ribosomal RNA", at positions 338 to 795 of the family's 1533-position model. The record is from RNAcentral.